This is a long non-coding RNA of Gossypium arboreum, 360 nucleotides long. RefSeq lists it as uncharacterized. The record is from RefSeq and is a predicted model, not a curated record. Lineage: Eukaryota; Viridiplantae; Streptophyta; Magnoliopsida; Malvales; Malvaceae. The transcript is spliced from 3 exons.
UUCUUUUACUAAAAUUCAACCAUUUUUUUUUAUAGAGAAAUAUGUCACUCUACCAAUAAGACACAACUUGAAUUAACUAAAAUUCAACCAUUUAAUAUAUCACUUCCAAUAAUUAAAAUUCAGCAGCAGUAAGCUCACUCGUGCAGCAGAGAUUUGGCAGCCAAAUUCUGCUGAUAACGGGGAAAGAAAUACCUCUGCUGCAAGCUGUGUCAACUCCUCCUCAAUCGAAGACUGAUAAGCCUGUGAUUUACUCAAAAGAUGGAAAUGUCACUGCAUUGAUAUGGGGAGCAUCACCACAAUCACGAUCUGAUCGGCAGAAGGACCGAGUUGAGACAAAUCCUGAACAGUUGGCAGCUGCAU